Long non-coding RNA from Zea mays, 372 nucleotides. RefSeq lists it as uncharacterized. The transcript is spliced from 2 exons. The record is from RefSeq and is a predicted model, not a curated record. NCBI's taxonomy places the organism in Eukaryota, Viridiplantae, Streptophyta, Magnoliopsida, Poales, Poaceae.
GGCCUGGGAGUUUCCGUGGGACAGACGCGGGGAGGCUUGCGAGGUGAAGCAAGAGGACAGACGCCCAAGCGGCGCGAGUCGGCGCAGCAGGUUGAAGCGUGGCUGUCCUGCCGAACCCCGUUGGCGGCUGCGGCGGCAUGACUCGCCAGUGCUACGCCGACCGGCCGCGCCGUUCGAAAUGUUGGUGCGCCUUUCCAUCUGACGCCCUAGGCAGCGGCGCGGUGGCGGACGGCUGCACGCUACUACCGACGAUCGAUACAGUGGCAGCUGGUUUUGUAUCCAAAUUUCAACUAUGAUGAGGAAGGAAUGAUUCAGAGCUUUGGCUAGCUGCUACGAUACGAGCCCGGGAGCAAAGACAUGAACUUCCAUAGG